Telopea speciosissima is the source of this 1193-nucleotide long non-coding RNA. RefSeq lists it as uncharacterized. Lineage: Eukaryota; Viridiplantae; Streptophyta; Magnoliopsida; Proteales; Proteaceae. The record is from RefSeq and is a predicted model, not a curated record. The transcript is spliced from 2 exons.
UACUACAAUAAACAGUUGGAUUGGCACAAUGUGGUGGCAACUUGUGAGUUUCAAAGUUCAGAUGAUAGUUGUCAUUGCGGCUGUACACUUCUAACGAGUAUCUCCCUGUUCUUGCAGCUUUGGUGAUUCAGAUUGCCUUUGGCUUACUAAUGAUUAAAUUGAUAAUUCAUGACUUGCAAUUUUAUUUUUUGGACCAUGUUGCUUGCCAUGUCCACAGGAAAUGAAGUGUCCGCAAAGGAAAUUUUUUGACUUUGGUUCUCAUACAUACUUUCUAUAUUAUGGUAAAAAAUGGUUAGGAGUUCCAUUAUUUGGAGGAAAUAACUCUGGAUAAUUUGGAGAGAUGGAUCAGAGAAACUGUAACCGACCUCAAAUGAUUCUGGCAAAACUUUGAUUCUCUUUUCAGGAUUAAAAUGUGUGGCCCAGUUACAUGGAUUUGAUGCUGAGAGUCAUUACUCAAAUAACUUGGGCUACUUCAACAGGGAUGAACUAGUUAUGAAUUGACAAUCCUGUGGAUCUAUAGUCAGGUUGAGUCAGCUGAUGUGCAUUUUGGCUAUCUCAAAUGCUACUUGGAGAAUGCCAAUAGUCAUUCACUAGGUUGUGAUUACAUCUGCUGUGACAUGCUGCCUAAGAUUGCCAAUCUUUUCAAACAGGACACAUUUAUGUCAACUUCGGCGGAAAAUGGGUGUUCUUGCUGGAGAUUAAUGCUUUAGCAUGACAUCUAUUUGAGAACAUCCUUCUUUUGAAGAACAUGAAGUUGUCCUCCUUGAGGAACUCCACAACAAGGCGAGUCUUCUCUAAGAAAUUUCAGUUUAUUCAUGUCCUCCUCUUAACGUAUCAUUGUUGGAUGUGAUCUUGAUUCUACUGUGAAUGUUCAGAAAUCUUUACAUAGCAUUUACUCGACAAGUUUCCUUCUUCUAUAAGGGUCAUUCCUCUACUUGCUGAAGGUGUUAUACAUUAUGUAGGUGUAAUGAAUUUUUUCUGUUUAAUCAGAAGAAGUAGGUUGCUAGAGUAAUGAUAUUAGAUUGCACAGUUGGUUACCUGUCCACAUACAAACACUUGUUGUUUAUGUUGUAUAACUAACAUUUUAUGGGCCUAGCUUAUGGAAUCUCCAGUACCAGAACCUUUUCAGUUGGAUGACUGUCAAUUCUGUGAACUUUUCCAUUGUUGGACCAUCAAAUUAUUUUAUGAAAUUG